RNAcentral lists this ribosomal RNA (253 nucleotides) under uncultured bacterium. Its description in RNAcentral is "partial 16S ribosomal RNA". It matches the Rfam family "Bacterial small subunit ribosomal RNA", at positions 524 to 776 of the family's 1533-position model. The record is from RNAcentral.
UACGUAGGGGGCGAGCGUUGUCCGGAGUUACUGGGCGUAAAGGGCAUGCAGGCGGUCGGACGCGUUUCGGGUGACAGCGGGUGGCUUAACUACCCGAGUGGUCGAAAGACGGUUUGACUUGAGGACGCGAGAGGGACACGGAAUUCCGGGUGGAGUGGUGAAAUGCGUAGAGAUCCGGAGGAACACCAGUGGCGAAGGCGGCCCCCUGGGCCGCGCCUGACGCUGAGACGCGAAAGCGCAGGGAGCGAACGGG